CCUCCUUUCAAGGCAAGGAAGGGCUGUGCAUUGAGGGUUCCAUGCUGAUGAGGCUCCUCCGGUGUUUCCUUGAUGCGAAAUCCUUCGGGCUCACCCUGAGACUGUGGGAUGUGCUCAUCUUGGAGGGCAAUCGAUUACUGACAGCCAUGGCCCAUGCAUCAUUCAAAAUACACAGGAAGCGCCUUAUGAAGCUUUCCUGGAGCACCAUCUGGGAGUUUCAGGAGCGACUGUCUCAGAGCUGGGCCCUGGAGGACAACACAGUCCUCAGGAAUCUUCAAGCCUCUAUGAAGGAACUCACAAAAAAACACUGGGACCUGCCACCCCCAGCCAAGCUGGAGCAAUGGUCCUCAAGGGUGUCCCCUGGCAUUGAGCCCCCCCAUGAGGGGGACAGACUGGCCGUCCCCACCCCACCAGCUCAGCUCCAGGAGCUCAUGCCAUCAGUCCCCCUGGGACAAAAGCCUUGUCCUCUGCCAGCCUGGCCUAAUGGGGCUGUCCCCAAGGCCCAGGCUGAGGUCCAUCAGCACGAAGGGGCUUCUCAAGAACCCAGAACAGAAGACUGCUGUCUGAGGGGCCCGGAGUCUCGAGAUGACGGCAGCCUGUCCCCGGGUGAGGUCAGGCUUUGUAUUACACGGAAACACUUGUCCAGGAACGCUAGGCCACAGCUCCACACACACCCGCAUGUCGGGGGUCCAUGUUUCCUGUGCUGCCAUUUUGAACACAGCUCCUGGGACUCUGAGGGGGCUUCCCCAGAACCCAGGGCAGAAGACUGCUGUCCAACAGGCCCAGAGGCUCGAGAUGAGGGUAGGAUGUCCCCUGGUGAGGUCAGGCUUCGUAUUACACGGAAACAUUUGUCCAGGAACUCUACACCACAGCUCCACACAGACCUGCAUGUCAGGGGCCCAGGGGCUUCUCAAGAACCCAGGGCAGCAGGCUGUUCUCAGGGGCGCCCAGAGGUUCAAGAUGACGGCAGCCUGUCCCCCGGUGAGGUCAGGCUUUGUAUUACACGGAAACACUUGUCCAGGAACUCUACACCACAGCUCCACACAGACCCGCAUGUCGGGGGUCCAUGUUUCCUGUGCUGCCAUUUUGAACACGGCUCCUGGGACUCUGUCACUUCUCCAUCUUCUGUGGACAGCAGCCCUGGAACAACAAGACGCACCCCGCCCAGCGAGCCCACUGGGACCGCGACACCAGGCCCUGCCUGGGUUUAUGACAGGGAGGAGGCACUUCGAGAGAUACCCCUGCAACAAGGUGUCCUCUGCCCGCUACUCCCCUCAGCAGAAGAACAACAUGGCAUGGAGGGAGCCCAGGCAGCACCUGCCCGGCUGCCUCGCAGCCCCAGAUGGCUGCUGGACCUUGAUUUUUACUGUUAUUUUUUUUUUAUUUUAUAUUUUUGUCUUCUUGGCCUUGGGAAAUACUUAGCGGGGGACUUGGUCCCCUCACGGCCUCAGGAGGGAAGGCUGAGCAUGAGGUUCCCACAGCCCCAGCCAGGCAGCAGCGUGCCCUGGGGCCCCUGACCCCACCUGUGGG
RNAcentral lists this long non-coding RNA (1530 nucleotides) under Cercocebus atys (sooty mangabey). RNAcentral describes it as "lncRNA (ENSCATG00000045385.1)". The record is from RNAcentral. Lineage: Eukaryota; Metazoa; Chordata; Mammalia; Primates; Cercopithecidae.